GGAGGAGGUAUGCUUCAAACAAGCAAACUAGGCGGCCCUAUCAGGUUUCCUCGCAUUCUCGGCUACAUAACCAGCCAAGGCCUUUUUUAGGCCAGAAGCAUCCCCAGGGGAGAGGGAUGCAUUUACCAAAACUCCACCAAUAAGCCACCCCAGGGAUCAUCUCAAGAGUCUUGAAGAAACUCCAAGAAGACGAGGCACCAAUACUGAUGAUAUUCCCACUGUGGCCGACCCAGUUUUGGUUGCCCAAAGCUCUCCAGCUAAUGGCAGCAGUUCCCGUUCUUCUCCCCAAAAAUUCCCUAGUUCUUCCACAACAUCCUACUCAACGCCAUCCACAGGCUCAGAGGUCGGCCUCAUCCAGUAAGGCAGCCCUGAAACUGCCGCUGUCCACUAUUAUAUCAACCAUUGGAUGGGCCAAGGAGUCAACUUUCACUAAGCAUUAUCAAAAACCUAUCAACAAAGGUGGUCAGUUUGCCAGGGCAGUUUUGUCAUAAGUUAUGUAUGACCCUGCCUUGUGAAAAUGUUUAUUUUUGUAUGCAAUUUUACGUUUGCUACUGUUGUUAACAUUGAGUACACAUUAGGAUAAUACUUGUUAUUAUACCGUUAUAAUAGGUAUAAUUUUUAUUUGGUUGUUUUCAACUUUUGUACACGCCAGGGAGGCGCAUCACACAUUGUUAAUAAAUUGGGUU
Long non-coding RNA from Scylla paramamosain (green mud crab), 686 nucleotides. RefSeq lists it as uncharacterized. Lineage: Eukaryota; Metazoa; Arthropoda; Malacostraca; Decapoda; Portunidae. The transcript is spliced from 3 exons. The record is from RefSeq and is a predicted model, not a curated record.